GCCCAUAAGACUGGGAUAACUCCGGGAAACCGGGGCUAAUACCGGAUAACAUUUUGAACCGCAUGGUUCGAAAUUGAAAGGCGGCUUCGGCUGUCACUUAUGGAUGGACCCGCGUCGCAUUAGCUAGUUGGUGAGGUAACGGCUCACCAAGGCAACGAUGCGUAGCCGACCUGAGAGGGUGAUCGGCCACACUGGGACUGAGACACGGCCCAGACUCCUACGGGAGGCAGCAGUAGGGAAUCUUCCGCAAUGGACGAAAGUCUGACGGAGCAACGCCGCGUGAGUGAUGAAGGCUUUCGGGUCGUAAAACUCUGUUGUUAGGGAAGAACAAGUGCUAGUUGAAUAAGCUGGCACCUUGACGGUACCUAACCAGAAAGCCACGGCUAACUACGUGCCAGCAGCCGCGGUAAUACGUAGGUGGCAAGCGUUAUCCGGAAUUAUUGGGCGUAAAGCGCGCGCAGGUGGUUUCUUAAGUCUGAUGUGAA
This 485-nucleotide ribosomal RNA is filed under the name Bacillus cereus. RNAcentral's name for it is "bacterial SSU rRNA". It matches the Rfam family "Bacterial small subunit ribosomal RNA", at positions 128 to 598 of the family's 1533-position model. The record is from RNAcentral. Lineage: Bacteria; Bacillati; Bacillota; Bacilli; Caryophanales; Bacillaceae.